RNAcentral lists this long non-coding RNA (1067 nucleotides) under Homo sapiens (human). RNAcentral's name for it is "HSALNT0407543". Lineage: Eukaryota; Metazoa; Chordata; Mammalia; Primates; Hominidae. The record is from RNAcentral.
GAGGAAGAGAAAGAGCUGGAGUCCUUUAAAAUUAACUGCCUGUUUUUCCUUCUGUGGCUAGUGAGUCUUAUCUCUCCCUUUCCGAGGCAUUGUGAAGACCCUGUUUCUCUAGUUGUGCAGCUGCAAGGUCACUAGACAGAUAAUCUCAAGUGGUAAAACAUGUUGUUCCUUGAAAAGUAAGAAAUAAUGUAAUGCAUGUUUCAAUUGAGUAACUGUAUUUGUUUCCCACUUCUGUAAUAUGCUUCCCCUGCACAGAUCUCCCCCUGCCCCACGAAAUGCUUAAAAGAUAGCUUGACUCUUUGUUUGGGGCUCAGUCCUUUGGAUGUUAAUCUGACUAGGUCGGUGCAUCUAAAUAAUUAAAUAAUUCCUCCUCAACCCCUCGGUCUCUCUGAUUCCUUAAUUAUCCUGCAGCAUUUCUGGUGACCCGGACAGGGAUUGGAGAUGGCAGAUUUACUGUCUCCUUUGUCUGUGGGACUAGAGCCCCACGGCCAGGGGAGACCUGGUAUCCAAGGCGUGCCGUAGGGGAGCUUCACCUGGAUGGAGACUGGCUCUCCCGGCAUCCCAGUGGCCUAGCUGGCUGCACAACGGAACUGGAGACGGGGCUGCAGCAUGAUACCAGCACUUCAGUUGCAGGUGUCACACCUUGGAUUCACCAUAGCCGCCUGAAACCAGUGGCAGCAGUGACUCCCGACGAUGACCAGUGGAUUAGCCAACAAGACCCAGAUUGUCCCACCCGAAUGCUCCUACGGCAAAACCCAACCACCGGUAAGAAGGACGACUGCCCUGCUCUGACCACACCAGAGGCUGGUCAGUCUACAUAUGGCUGAAGCUUGAGGAUCCUACAAGCUCUGCUCUAGUCACAUCCUGGAAGCUGACUAGUCUAUGCAUGGCCGAAGCUAAGAGGACCAUCUCCGGAUAAUUAAAUAAAUCGAUGAUAAUGGCUGAGCUGUCAUGGAAAUCACAGCUAGAAUGCGCAAGUUGGCCCAUGUUCCAGUUCAGACUUGGUCCGGAUGGUCCUUGGAUUUGUUGUUUGGAGGAUAGUUCUCAACCUUUGGAGGAUUCAAAAC